AGAGUUUGAUCCUGGCUCAGAUUGAACGCUGGCGGCAUGCCUUACACAUGCAAGUCGAACGGCAGCAUGAUCUAGCUUGCUAGAUUGAUGGCGAGUGGCGAACGGGUGAGUAAUACAUCGGAACGUGCCCUGUAGUGGGGGAUAACUAGUCGAAAGAUUAGCUAAUACCGCAUACGACCUGAGGGUGAAAGUGGGGGACCGCAAGGCCUCAUGCUAUAGGAGCGGCCGAUGUCUGAUUAGCUAGUUGGUGAGGUAAAGGCUCACCAAGGCGACGAUCAGUAGCUGGUCUGAGAGGACGAUCAGCCACACUGGGACUGAGACACGGCCCAGACUCCUACGGGAGGCAGCAGUGGGGAAUUUUGGACAAUGGGGGCAACCCUGAUCCAGCAAUGCCGCGUGUGUGAAGAAGGCCUUCGGGUUGUAAAGCACUUUUGUCCGGAAAGAAAUCGCACUUACUAAUAUUAGGUGUGGAUGACGGUACCGGAAGAAUAAGGACCGGCUAACUACGUGCCAGCAGCCGCGGUAAUACGUAGGGUCCAAGCGUUAAUCGGAAUUACUGGGCGUAAAGCGUGCGCAGGCGGUUGUGCAAGACCGAUGUGAAAUCCCCGGGCUUAACCUGGGAAUUGCAUUGGUGACUGCACGGCUAGAGUGUGUCAGAGGGGGGUAGAAUUCCACGUGUAGCAGUGAAAUGCGUAGAGAUGUGGAGGAAUACCGAUGGCGAAGGCAGCCCCCUGGGAUAACACUGACGCUCAUGCACGAAAGCGUGGGGAGCAAACAGGAUUAGAUACCCCCGUAGUCC
This 799-nucleotide ribosomal RNA is filed under the name uncultured Ralstonia sp. RNAcentral's name for it is "bacterial SSU rRNA". It matches the Rfam family "Bacterial small subunit ribosomal RNA", at positions 8 to 796 of the family's 1533-position model. Lineage: Bacteria; Pseudomonadati; Pseudomonadota; Betaproteobacteria; Burkholderiales; Burkholderiaceae. The record is from RNAcentral.